GUUGCGAUCACUUUCGGAAUAGAUUCUGAAGUUGAACGCCAUUUGUUACUUCAUUUGCCAAAUUCACUUGUGUAAAAGCUUACAACAACUACUGCAUUACAAUCUACAUUGAUGUGACAAUUUUGACACCGCAUGCCAUUGCCAUUUGCCAUUAUCGAGGAAGAGCAAUUCCAGCUCCAGGAGAUAGAUUGUCAGAAGCAGACCAGUCCUCACUCGUGGUUUGUUUUGGCGAGUUGUUGAUUGAUUUCGUCCUGACUGUUAAUGGAUUUUCAUUGGCUGAAGCACCUGCUUUUAAGAAAGCUCCGGGAGGCGCACCUGCUAACGUUUCCGUUGGUAUAGCUCGUCUCGGUGGUUCAUCAGCAUUUCUUGGGAAGGUUUGGUACCAUUGUUAACGAUUCAACUUUUAUCUUCUUAUAUUAUCAUUAUUGGUUCUUAAACUUACAGAAGAGAGACAAUUCUGAGGCUCUAAUAGAAAGAAAAAAAAAGGUGAACAUUUUGCACAACAAACAUACAAAAUGUUUUGUUUGUAUCUGCAUGUGUGUAACAUAAUUAUCUUGCAGUUUAACUAUGAGAUACUUUGAUGUACUUAGUGGCUUAUACAAACAUUUAAUUGCCGAACAAAAAAGGAAAAGGAUGAGGAUGUUGCAGACAUCAGUUUGUGUAUACAAUAUUAUCUCCAAGUAUGCAAGUGUUGAACAAGCAUUUCAAGAUUUGAUUUUCUUUUCUUAUUUUUUGUCCUUCGGAUCGUAGGCCAGCUCGAGAUUGCUUUUACAACUCCUAAAAGUGAUUAUUAGAAAAUUUUAGUAACAAAUGGUGUUCAACAAACCUGGUUUGAUCAGAUAUAUCUACAAACCUGAAUUGAAUGACAGGACAGGUUCUCUUGCAUCAUCAACGGAAUGCAUCUUAAAUUUGACAUGAUGAGUGUUUCUUUUUCCCAUGUUUGUGUUCUUUGUGUUCUUUUUCCCAUGUUUCUACUCUAGAGUAGCCAAACGUUUGUCCCAACAUGUUAUGGAGCAUCAUGAAGUAAUGGGUAAGUCCUCCCAUGAAAUUCUUUUAUUCCUUUCUUUGAACUGUGAAAAGUCUAUAUUAGUGUUUGCACUUCUUCAAUAAGCAAUAUUGGCAAUGUGACAAAUUUAUUUAGAGUUUAAACUAAGGUUGGCGCUAUGACGUUUCAAAUGAGAUGUUGAUACUUACUUUUGGCCAGUGAAGGGUAUGAAUUUGGUUAGGGAAGUGGAGAGACUUAAAGGUUGCGAAUGUCAUCUGCAUGAAUGGAAGAAGGCAUCUAAACUCAUCGGUGAAUGAGGUUUCAAGAGAUCUCAUUGUAAAUUCCCAUUCCAAAAAGAAGCAAGCUCUUCUGGUGUUGGUCCAAUGAACAAUUGCAUACAAAUUCAUAAACAAGAAGCUUUUGUUUCCUUCAGAAAAUGAUCCCAGCAGCACGACCAAAUUCUCAUGUCUUGCAUUACUGAGAAAAUGAACUAAUAUUCGAAUUCUUUCUCUCCCUGAAAGCUUGCACUUUUGUGUUGCUUCACAGCAAUCCGGGUUGGAAAAGCUAUAUAUGGUAGGACUUUGCCAUGGAAAUUUAUGAGAAGAAGUAAUUGCCAUUUCAAAUAUAUUUAAGAUGUUUUUGUCUGCACAAUCACACAUAAAGUGAGGCACAAAAAUGAUGUCAUCCGUCUUCCUGGUGCUAACCUUGUCAGAGAUGUCAAUGUAAAGAAUAAGAUGAAAAAGAACUCAAUUAUUGAGGUCAAUAGUUGUUUUGCUAGAGGAGAUGGCCUUUUUAUUGGAGCAUUUUCUCAAGAUGAAUUAUUUACUUAACCAUUUCAUUUGGCUAGACGUUUUGGACACUUUGUUAUCUCUAGUUAUUUCGUUGUAUUCUUUACUUGUUUUUAAUGUUAAAGUUGUGGACAAAUGAUGUGACUUGUGUUGUAAACAU
Long non-coding RNA from Morus notabilis, 1933 nucleotides. RefSeq lists it as uncharacterized. Lineage: Eukaryota; Viridiplantae; Streptophyta; Magnoliopsida; Rosales; Moraceae. The record is from RefSeq and is a predicted model, not a curated record. The transcript has 7 exons.